GAUGAACGCUGGCGGCGUGCUUAACACAUGCAAGUCGAACGCUGAAGCCCAGCUUGCUGGGUGGUUUAGUGGCAAACGAUUGGUUAAGACGUGAGGAACCUGCCCGUAACUCUGGGAUAAGCCUGGGGGACUGGGCCUAAUACCGGAUGUGAGCGCCUACCGCAUGGUGGUUGUGGGAGAGAUUUAUCGGUUUUGGAUGUACUCGCGGCCGAUCAGCUGGUUGGUGAGGUAAUGGCUAGCCGAGGCGACGACGGGUAGCCGGCCUGAGAGGGUGACCGGCCACACUGGGACUGAGACACGGCCCAGACUCCUACGGGAGGCAGCAGUGGGGAAUAUUGCACAAUGGGCGAAAGCCUGAUGCAGCGACGCCGCGUGAGGGAUGACGGCCUUCGGGUUGUAAACCUCUUUCAGUAGGGAAGAAGCGAAAGUGACGGUACCUGCAGAAGAAGCACCGGCUAACUACGUG
Molecule: ribosomal RNA, 466 nt
Filed under: uncultured bacterium
Lineage: Bacteria
Description: partial 16S ribosomal RNA
Rfam family: Bacterial small subunit ribosomal RNA
Source: RNAcentral